RNAcentral lists this unclassified non-coding RNA (231 nucleotides) under Hevea brasiliensis (rubber tree). Lineage: Eukaryota; Viridiplantae; Streptophyta; Magnoliopsida; Malpighiales; Euphorbiaceae. The record is from RNAcentral.
UUUUUAAUGUCUAAUCACUUGGUACUGUUGAUGCUGCUUUGUGAUUUCCUUUUUAUUUGCUUCUAUUUAUCUGUGUUUUAAUGAUGGAAGAACUUAUCAAGCAAAUCCAGAAAAUGGGUUUGAAGAAAUUUUUCUUUGGCAUUAUGGCAGAAUGAUCAUUAGUCUGGCAAAUUUGUGAAGUUGUCAUAUUGAGGAUCUAUUGGCCAUGCUAGUUUCUUGAUCUUGUGGUAG